This 1588-nucleotide ribosomal RNA is filed under the name metagenome. RNAcentral's name for it is "bacterial LSU rRNA". It matches the Rfam family "Bacterial large subunit ribosomal RNA", at positions 1346 to 2925 of the family's 2925-position model. The record is from RNAcentral.
UAAGGUUUCCGACGGAAGGUCAGUCCGCGUCGGGUUAGUCGGGCCUUAGCCGAGGCCGAAAGGCGUAGGCGAUGGACAUCCGGUUAAUAUUCCGGAACCACUCAAGUGGAGCGAUGAAGGGACGCGGCGUGGUAGGUCAGCCUCUUAACGGAUUGAGGUGCCAAACGCGUAGGACGUUGAAGGGUGUAGGUAAGUCCGCACCCCGAGUCCGAAACGUGAUGGCGGUGCCUUAGAGCCACAAGUGAUUGAGCCAUGCCGCCUAGAAAAGCUUCUAAGCGUUGAUAUUUGAGUGACCGUACCGCAAACCGACACUGGUAGGUGGGUAGAAUAUACCAAGGGGAGCGAGAGAACCCUCGUUAAGGAAUUAGGCAAAUUUCCCCCGUACGUUCGCAAUAAGGGGGGCCUCUGGUGGUGAGCUUAAUCGCAAAGCUGCUGGAGGCCGCAGAGAAAUGGCUCUUCCAACUGUUUAACAAAAACACAGGUCUCUGCUAAGUCGAAAGACGAAGUAUAGGGGCUGACGCCUGCCCAGUGCUGGAAGGUUAAGGGGAGAGGUUAGGCGCAAGCCGAAGCUUUGAGCCGAAGCCCCAGUGAACGGCGGCCGUAACUAUAACGGUCCUAAGGUAGCGAAAUUCCUUGUCGGGUAAGAUCCGACCCGCACGAAUGGCGUAAUGAGAGGAGCACUGUCUCAACGAGGGACUCGGCGAACAUUGAAGGACGUGUGAAGAUACACGUGACCCGCAGCGGGACAAAAAGACCCCGUGAAGCUUUACUACAACUUGCCAUUGAGUUAGGGCUAAACCUGUGUAGUAUAGGUGGGAGGCUUUGAAGCUGGGACGCCAGUCUCGGUGGAGCCACCGUUGAAAUACCACCCUGGUUUAUUCUUGGCUCUAACCUGUCGCCGUUAUCCGGCAUGGGAACAGUGGCUGGUGGGUAGUUUGACUGGGGCGGUCGCCUCCGAAAGCGUAACAGAGGCGCCCAAAGGUUCCCUCAGGCCGAAUGGAAACCAGCCGUUGAGUGUAAAGGCACAAGGGAGCUUGACUGCAAGACCAACAAGUCGCGCAGGGACGAAAGUCGGGCUUAGUGAUCCCACGGCUCAGAGUGGAAUGGCCGUGGCUUACCGGAUAAAAGCUACUCCGGGGAUAACAGGGUAGUCUGGUCCAAGAGUUCAUAUCGACGACCAGGUUCGCCACCUCGAUGUCGGCUCAUCACAUCCUGGGGCUGGAUAAGGUCCCAAGGGUUGGGCUGUUCGCCCAUUAAAGUGGUACGUGAGCUGGGUUCAGACCGUCGUGAGACAGGUCGGUCUCUAUCCGCUGUGGGCGCAAGGGAUUUGAGAGAAGCUGCCCCUAGUACGAGAGGACCGGGGUGGACGGACCUCUAGUGUGCCAGUUGUUCUGCCAAGAGCAUUGCUGGGUAGCUACGUCCGGCAGAGAUAACCGCUGAAAGCAUCUAAGUGGGAAACUCGUCUCAAGAUUAGAUCCCUCAUCCGUAUGGAGUAAGACCGCUAGAAGACUACUAGUUUGAUAGGCGGCAGGUGUAAGCGCAGUAAUGUGUUCAGCUUAGCCGUACUAAUGGUCGAGGGCUUACGUUU